Molecule: ribosomal RNA, 310 nt
Filed under: uncultured bacterium
Lineage: Bacteria
Description: bacterial SSU rRNA
Rfam family: Bacterial small subunit ribosomal RNA
Source: RNAcentral
AACGAACGCUGGCGGCAUGCCUAACACAUGCAAGUCGAACGAGACCUUCGGGUCUAGUGGCGCACGGGUGCGUAACACGUGGGAAUUUGCCUCGGGGUAUGGAAUAACUCAGGGAAACUUGAGCUAAUACCAUAUAAUGUCUUCGGACCAAAGAUUUAUCGCCCUGAGAUAAGCCCGCGUAGGAUUAGCUAGUUGGUGGGUAAAGCUCACCAAGGCGACGAUCCUUAGCUGGUCUGAGAGGAUGAUCAGCCACACUGGGACUGAGACACGGCCCAGACUCCUACGGGAGGCAGCAGUGGGGAAUAUUGGA